RNAcentral lists this transfer RNA (72 nucleotides) under Campylobacterota bacterium. Its description in RNAcentral is "tRNA-Thr". It matches the Rfam family "tRNA". From Rfam's summary of the family: Transfer RNA (tRNA) molecules are approximately 80 nucleotides in length. Their secondary structure includes four short double-helical elements and three loops (D, anti-codon, and T loops). Lineage: Bacteria; Pseudomonadati; Campylobacterota. The record is from RNAcentral.
GCCAAUGUAGCUCAGUGGUAGAGCACACGCUUCGUAAGCGUGCGGUCGAGGGUCCGACUCCCUCCAUUGGCU